UGGGGAAUAUUGCACAAUGGGCGCAAGCCUGAUGCAGCCAUGCCGCGUGUGUGAAGAAGGCCUUCGGGUUGUAAAGCACUUUCAGCGAGGAGGAAGGUGGUGAGCUUAAUACGCUCAUCAAUUGACGUUACUCGCAGAAGAAGCACCGGCUAACUCCGUGCCAGCAGCCGCGGUAAUACGGAGGGUGCAAGCGUUAAUCGGAAUUACUGGGCGUAAAGCGCACGCAGGCGGUUUGUUAAGUCAGAUGUGAAAUCCCCGGGCUCAACCUGGGAACUGCAUUUGAAACUGGCAAGCUAGAGUCUCGUAGAGGGGGGUAGAAUUCCAGGUGUAGCGGUGAAAUGCGUAGAGAUCUGGAGGAAUACCGGUGGCGAAGGCGGCCCCCCUGGACGAAGACUGACGCUCAGGUGCGAAAGCGUGGGGCAGCAAACAGGAUUAGAUACCCUGGUAGUCCACGCUGUAAACGAUGUCGAUUUUGGAGGUUGUGCCCCUUGAGGCGUGGCUUCCGGAGCUAACGCGUUAAAUCGACCGCCUGGGGAGUACGGCCGCAAGGUU
RNAcentral lists this ribosomal RNA (552 nucleotides) under uncultured bacterium. RNAcentral describes it as "partial 16S ribosomal RNA". It matches the Rfam family "Bacterial small subunit ribosomal RNA", at positions 355 to 895 of the family's 1533-position model. The record is from RNAcentral.